RNAcentral lists this ribosomal RNA (497 nucleotides) under uncultured bacterium. RNAcentral describes it as "partial 16S ribosomal RNA". It matches the Rfam family "Bacterial small subunit ribosomal RNA", at positions 28 to 507 of the family's 1533-position model. The record is from RNAcentral.
GAUGAACGCUGGCGGCGUGCCUAAUACAUGCAAGUCGAGCGAACAGACGAGGAGCUUGCUCCUCUGACGUUAGCGGCGGACGGGUGAGUAACACGUGGAUAACCUACCUAUAAUACUGGGAUAACUUCGGGAAACCGGAGCUAAUACCGGAUAAUAUAUUGAACCGCAUGGUUCAAUAGUUAAAGACGGCUUUGCUGUCUCUUAUAGAUGGAUCCGCGCCGCAUUAGCUAGUUGGUAAGGUAACGGCUUAACAAGGCAACGUUGCGUAGCCGACCUGAGGGGGUGAGCGGCCACACUGGAACUGAGACACGGUCCAGACUCCUACGGGAGGCAGCAGUAGGGAAUCUUCCGCAAUGGGCGAAAACCUGACGGAACAACGCCGCGUGAGUGAUGAAGGUCUUCGGAUCUUAAAACUCUGUUAUUAGGGAAAAACAAAUGUGUAAGUAACUAUGCACGUCUUGACGGUACCUAAUCAGAAAGCCACGGCUAACUACGUG